Molecule: ribosomal RNA, 472 nt
Filed under: uncultured bacterium
Lineage: Bacteria
Description: bacterial SSU rRNA
Rfam family: Bacterial small subunit ribosomal RNA
Source: RNAcentral
ACUCCUACGGGAGGCAGCAGUGGGGAAUAUUGCACAAUGGGCGCAAGCCUGAUGCAGCCAUGCCGCGUGUAUGAAGAAGGCCUUCGGGUUGUAAAGUACUUUCAGCAGUGAGGAAGGUGGGUAUGUUAAUAGCAUAUUCAUUUGACGUUAGCUGCAGAAGAAGCACCGGCUAACUCCGUGCCAGCAGCCGCGGUAAUACGGAGGGUGCGAGCGUUAAUCGGAAUUACUGGGCGUAAAGCGCAUGCAGGUGGUUUGUUAAGUCAGAUGUGAAAGCCCGGGGCUCAACCUCGGAAUUGCAUUUGAAACUGGCAAACUAGAGUACUGUAGAGGGGGGUAGAAUUUCAGGUGUAGCGGUGAAAUGCGUAGAGAUCUGAAGGAAUACCGGUGGCGAAGGCGGCCCCCUGGACAGAUACUGACACUCAGAUGCGAAAGCGUGGGGAGCAAACAGGAUUAGAUACCCUCGUAGGCCAGC